GACGAACGCUGGCGGCGUGCUUAACACAUGCAAGUCGAACGCUGAGGCUCGGCUUUUGUUCGGUUGAUGAGUGGCGAACGCGUGAGUAACACGUGAGUAACCUGCCCCCUUCUUUGGGAUAACGCCCGGGAACAGGUGCUAAUACUGCGUAUUAACUGGUCUUCGCCUGGGGUUUGGUGGAAAGGGCUUUUCUGGUGGGGGAUGGGCUCGCGGCCUGUCAGCUUGUUGUUGGGGUGAUGGUCUACCGAGGCUUUGGCGAGUAGCCGGGGUGAGCGGGUGAACUGUCACAGAGGGACGGACCUACGGCCCAGACGAGUACGGGAGGCAGAAGUGGGGAAAAUGGGCCAAUGGGCGACAGAGUGAUGCAGCGACGCUGAGGGAGGGCUGCAGGUCGUAGGGUUGUGAAACUCUGUCGCUAAUGGUGAAGACGUAACAAUGGUUGUGGUGACGGUAGUGGGUAAAGAAGCGCCGGCUAACUACGUG
Molecule: ribosomal RNA, 483 nt
Filed under: uncultured bacterium
Lineage: Bacteria
Description: partial 16S ribosomal RNA
Rfam family: Bacterial small subunit ribosomal RNA
Source: RNAcentral